UACGAAGGGGGCUAGCGUUGCUCGGAAUUACUGGGCGUAAAGGGCGCGUAGGCGGACAGUUUAGUCAGAGGUGAAAGCCCAGGGCUCAACCUUGGAAUUGCCUUUGAUACUGGCUGUCUUGAGUUCGGGAGAGGUGAGUGGAAUGACGAGUGUAGAGGUGAAAUUCGUAGAUAUUCGGCGGAACACCAGUGGCGAAGGCGACUCACUGGCCCGAUACUGACGCUGAGGCGCGAAAGCGUGGGGAGCAAACAGG
RNAcentral lists this ribosomal RNA (253 nucleotides) under uncultured bacterium. RNAcentral describes it as "partial 16S ribosomal RNA". It matches the Rfam family "Bacterial small subunit ribosomal RNA", at positions 524 to 776 of the family's 1533-position model. The record is from RNAcentral.